RNAcentral lists this long non-coding RNA (21947 nucleotides) under Volvox carteri. Its description in RNAcentral is "long non-coding RNA (VCAR_LNC003197)". Lineage: Eukaryota; Viridiplantae; Chlorophyta; Chlorophyceae; Chlamydomonadales; Volvocaceae. The record is from RNAcentral.
CGCUCGUAUAUACAGUGUUCGGGCCAAAGCUGCACUAGCUGCUGCGUGCGAAACACAUUUGACCUCCCUUAAAAUGCUGCAAACUAUGAGGUCUGUGCAUAUGAAACGUAUUGUAUUCACCCUUCAUGCCGAGGCACAUGCAUCGAUGGAGCCCAUGCAUUGCCGUCAGGUACCCCUCGUCCCUAAGAUCUACUGCUGUAACAACCACGCACACAUACUGCUAGUAGUCAUAAGAGCUGUAAUUCCUGUGACCUCUGGUGUCCUGUUCGCGCCAGUUGCACCGCAAACGCUUCCACAUGAACUGUUAAACUGUUUAAAAUUUUCGUAUUCUUAAGUAUCGCGCGUGUGUAUGCUUUGAAAAUACAGGAGAUGGAAAAGGUACGCUUACAGCGCUAGCCGUCAGCGAUUUCUGGCUUACCAGGGUCUCAAGAUCUAGGACCUCUUUUCCGAAAGCACUGAAAGGAGUUUUGCAACGUUAUGUAAUCUUUUCGGGGACUUUCCAUGGACCUGCCGGCGAAGUAAGGGAAUGAUAUGCGCACGCCGCCGAAUAAGUAAUUAUCAGUAAAUUGUUAACCUGCAGGUAUCACGUUGAACUUCUUAAUGCAAUGCCAACAUAAACCAAACAGAACAAGCCUACAACAUGACUUCCAAAGGGUGGCAUGUAUGUUAGAAGCGCCCUGCAUUCCGCUAAGGUACAGCUUGUUUGCUAUUUGGACGGAACAGUCUUUUUUGCGUUCUUUUCCGAGUACCUCUUACACUGCUUGUCCUGCGCAUCCUUUACAUGUACUACGGCUAAGGGAUCCCUUCCGGAUGAUGAAGAAUGUGCUUUAUGCUGGACCAAUUACACAUCACGAUCAGCAUCGAUUAAGCGGCUCCAGGAGCUGGUACCAGCUGGUACCGGCCGGUGCUUAGGGCCCGAUCCGCCGCCGGGAGGACGACUUCCUGAGGCAAACACGACGGACAUCCCGAACGGUGCUUACAUCCGUGUUAUGGAAAAUUGCUCUUACGUGUGUGGACCGGACGGAUGGACAAGAGGCAACGUUUUGCAUCACUUGUUUCUUGGCCGCAAGCAGCAACGUAGUGAAGGACAUGGACGCGCAUGCACAGGCCAUGGAAUGGUAUGUCUAAAUCAUGGAUGGCGACGUUCAACUCUCAGAAUGGUGAUUUCUGCCUUUGGGUUCAAUUCUGAACCUGGAAUGCUGCUGGCUCUGCCCGUACCGGAAAAGUGCUUUCCGGUACGGCGGUGCCAGGAGGUGGUAUCUACGUCGUCUUAGGGGCAACCCUAAGACCAAGGGGAUGAACGAAUACAUAUACACUUUCUGUUUCUUGGCUGCAGCAAGUGUUGUCCUGGGCGCAACGUUGAUGGCCUGAUGCCGACGCGACCUCCUUUACGACAAUGCUAGGCAAACGCAGCGGAUGUUCAUGAAUUACUUAAGCGUUCAUAUUACUCGUCACAGCUUCAACGGCACUGUACUGGGCGGAUGUAAGACGUGCGUUGGUGGACGCGAUGGCCUUACGAAGGGGGAGAAAGACGCUUAGGAGAUGCUUGGAUUGUUAUGUACAAGUCACAGACGGGGACGUUUAACUCUAUGAAUGCUGAGUUUUAGCUACUAGUCGGGUUUUUUGAACUUCGCUGUUGUUGUUUCCGCCCGUACAGGAAAAGUGUCUUCUGAUACGGCGGUCACAGCAGGUAGUAUCCACGUCGACUUGUAUGCAAACCAAAUACAACGAAACCAGGGGAUGAUAUGACAGUUUUGGAAUGCUUGUUUCUUGGCCGCAAGCAGCAGCAUACUUAAAUCGCGUUGGGCCAUUUGCCCAGGCUGCCGCAAGGACGACAAGCCAGGCUAAUGCAGCUGGUGUCCAUGACGGGUUCAUUACGUGCUGAAUAUGAAAGAUUGCUACAAAGACUCUGGCCCUGACGAACGUAAAAUGUGAUGUUCGUAAGGAAGAAAACAGACGCAUAUCCAAGGCAUGGAGCUGUUUGUAGGGAAACCGUAAAUGAAGGUUUAAGGAACUGAACGAUGAAUUCUGCCGGUGUGGUCGGUUCUGGAUCUCUUAUGUUGCUCGUCACGCUCGUACGGAAAAUGGGCAUUUGUUGCAGGAGGGAGUCUGUGUGUCAAGUCGUAGUCGAACCUUUUUCAAAGGGGAUGAGCACACACACAGCUUGCAUUCCAUGUUCACUAAUGUCAGCCCACAGUAAGCUACUGGGCUAGACUUGGAGGGUCCGACCGGGGCAACUCGUUGCUGUGGACUUGUAGGCAAGUCAAGUAGGGCUAUGGAAUGCUAGGACAAUGUUAUUAUGUUUGUGUUAUAGGCUUGGGUAGGAAUUCUUAAGCAAUACGUUGAGUGGCUUUUCCGCCGGCGGGAGGACGACAAUCCCACGCAAACAGGACGGAUGUUCCGAAUGUUGCUUACAUUCAUGUUGUCGAAGCUCGCGACGACGGCUCUGGACAGGACGGAUGUCAAGUGUGCGUUGGUGGACGUGAUGGCAACGUAGUGAAGGACACGGACGCGCAUGCACAGGCCAUGGAAUGGUAUGUCUAAAUCAUGGAUGGCGACGUUCAACUCUCAGAAUGGUGAUUUCUGCCUUUGGGUUCAAUUCUGAACCUGGAAUGCUGCUGGCUCUGCCCGUACCGGAAAAGUGCUUUCCGGUACGGCGGUGUCAGGAGGUGGUAUCUACGUCGUCUUAGGGGCAACCCUAAGACUAAGGGGAUGAACGAAUAGAGAUAUACUUAGGGUUUCUUGNNNNNNNNNNNNNNNNNNNNNNNNNNNNNNNNNNNNNNNNNNNNNNNNNNNNNNNNNNNNNNNNNNNNNNNNNNNNNNNNNNNNNNNNNNNNNNNNNNNNNNNNNNNNNNNNNNNNNNNNNNNNNNNNNNNNNNNNNNNNNNNNGGUGAGAUGGUAAAAAGGCGGAUGUGUGGCGCGGCUACCAUCGUACCCAAUGGGUGCGAUGGUAAACAGGCGGAUGUGUGGCACGGCUACCAUCGUACCCAAUGGGUGCAAUGGUAAAAAGGCGGAUGUGUGGCACGGCUACCAUCGUACCCAAUGGGUGCGAUGGUAAAAAGGCGGAUGUGUGGCACGGCUACCAUCGUACCCAAUGGGUGCGAUGGUAAACAGGCGGCGAUGGUAAACAGGCGGAUGUGUGGCACGGCUACCAUCGUACCCAAUGGGUGCGAUGGUAAAAAGGCGGAUGUGUGGCGCGGCUACCAUCGUACCCAAUGGGUGCGAUGGUAAACAGGCGGCGAUGGUAAACAGGCGGAUGUGUGGCACGGCUACCAUCGUACCCAAUGGGUGCGAUGGUAAAAAGGCGGAUGUGUGGCGCGGCUACCAUCGUACCCAAUGGGUGCGAUGGUAAACAGGCGGCGAUGGUAAACAGGCGGAUGUGUGGCACGGCUACCAUCGUACCCAAUGGGUGCAAUGGUAAAAAGGCGGAUGUGUGGCGCGGCUACCAUCGUACCCAAUGGGUGCGAUGGUAAAAAGGCGGAUGUGUGGCACGGCUACCAUCGUACCCAAUGGGUGCGAUGGUAAACAGGCGGCGAUGGUAAACAGGCGGAUGUGUGGCACGGCUACCAUCGUACCCAAUGGGUGCGAUGGUAAAAAGGCGGAUGUGUGGCGCGGCUACCAUCGUACCCAAUGGGUGCGAUGGUAAACAGGCGGCGAUGGUAAACAGGCGGAUGUGUGGCACGGCUACCAUCGUACCCAAUGGGUGCGAUGGUAAAAAGGCGGAUGUGUGGCGCGGCUACCAUCGUACCCAAUGGGUGCGAUGGUAAACAGGCGGCGAUGGUAAACAGGCGGAUGUGUGGCACGGCUACCAUCGUACCCAAUGGGUGCAAUGGUAAAAAGGCGGAUGUGUGGCGCGGCUACCAUCGUACCCAAUGGGUGCGAUGGUAAAAAGGCGGAUGUGUGGCACGGCUACCAUCGUACCCAAUGGGUGCGAUGGUAAACAGGUGGCGAUGGUAAACAGGCGGAUGUGUGGCACGGCUACCAUCGUACCCAAUGGGUGNNNNNNNNNNNNNNNNNNNNNNNNNNNNNNNNNNNNNNNNNNNNNNNNNNAAAACGUCGGGUUGUAUGUGGUGGAGCAGGUCACUGGAUAUGAAGGGAGGAUCUUGAAUUUGAACAUCAACAUGUUUUCUUCUAUCUUAAGCUCAGGGCCUACUUUAGGUGCAGCACGUUGUGUUUCGGUCACGAGAGAGUGGAUGCAGAUCAUUCAACCGUGUGGGCCUGCUGGUGGCUGUAAGCAGAUAUUGGCGUUGAACUGCUUUUCAAAUGCAGUAGUGCUUCGUAUGCUAAACUGUGAAGCACAUGGAUACCUUACGCCAUGUAAGUAGUGCCAUUCGUUUCAUGCCUAAAUUCACUGCAGCAGUAGUGCUUUUGGAACAGCAGCCUGGAUUUUCAUCCAGUCAAUUAGUGCCUUGCUAAUAAGCGAGGUAAUAUGCAUGAUUGAUGAUAUUGCUUGAAACGUAUGGUUUGCCAAAUAUUAGGCAAAAGGCAGGACAUUUCGUUACAAACCGUUCAAGAAUGUUUGUUCUAAACGACAUUAUCCAUCAACACCGUGAGACAGAGCUAAAAUACAGUCUGAAAACAUCUGACAAGCCUUAACAACGGCUAACAGCACCAAUUCCUGUUCUACUUCUCCAACAUGGUUGUUAACAGCCAGAUCCACCUGCCGCCAGCCCAAACAUCGUCUGACAGCCCCAUCACUGUUAGAGAAUCUGUUAGGCUAACAUUUCCUAACAGGCACGCCUGUUAGCCGCUGUUAGACCCCCUAUGAGUUGGUUGUAUACAACCGGCCUUACACGGGUCCUGUAAGAAGGAAUCAACUCCCUUGGCAUCAUCCUGAGUACUCUUUGCCUGGUCGUCAGUAAAAUUGGAGGUCACCUAUAGGUCGGGCCAUCGCCUCAUAUGUAGGACCGCGGAAUAUGUGGCGUAUAGGUGAUUUCGCGUAUAUAAUCGUAUACAUCACACCUAUAGGCGAUCUGCAGAUAGUAUACAACAGCUGUUGUAUACAGCAUGGUCUAUAGGCCUGUAGGCUAUAGGUUACCAUGUGUACGCAUGCAAAGCUGUGAGAGCCGAAAUAAUCCGUUGUAUAAAGGCAUGCCUUUAUGUAGGCCACUCGUGUAUACAGUGUUCGAGCCAAAGCUGCACUAGCUGCUGCGAAACACCUUUGACCUCCCUUAAAAUGCUGCAAACUAUGAGGUCUGUGCAUAUGAAACGUUUUGUAUUCACCCUUCAUGCCGAGGCACAUGCAUCGAUGGAGUCCAUGCAACGCCGUCAGGCACCCCUCGUCAUUAAGACCUGUUAGUAAGAGCUGUAUUUCCUGUGACCUCUGGUGUCCUAUUCGCGCCAGUUGCACCGCAAACGCCUACGAAAUUCCACAAAAAUGUUAAUAAUUCUCGUAUUCUUAAGUAUCACGCGUGGGUAUGCUUUGAAGAUACAAAAGAUGAAUAAGUUUUGCGACCGAAACUAGUUUCUGGCUUGCCGGGGUGGCAAGGACUAAACCUCUUUUCGAAAAGCACUGAAAUGAGCUCUGCAAGGUUAUAAUCUUUUCGGGGGCUUUUGCUUGAUAAGUGCAUUCCGAUACGACGGUGACAGGAGGUGGCAUCUACGUCGACUUGAAGGCAACCCUAAAGAAAGGGGAUGAACUGAAAGGGAACCAGGCCGCUCCUAACAACUGGGAAGCGUAAGCUGACUUUACUGGCCGAUAUACUUGCGUAAGCACAGAAGAUCGGGCUUUUCAAUUUCAACUUAGACUUACAAUGUUCGUAAAAUGGUCCGCUUAAAUAGUCAUAUUAGCGCGCCAUUGUCUCACACGGAGAACCACAGGAUCAAGCUCCACUAGCUCCGAAGUUACGACAUGGUCUCAGAAGCGCGCGCUAACGAACUGCAAAACCUUACACACUCCCCUCCUUAAAAACAAGCACCGUCCUCGGUGCGAAAACGUUACUAAGCGGCCAUGGUCAUGCGCCUCUCCGAUUCCCUGAACGAAAUCGGUACCAGGCUAACUAGGGGAAGGCAAAAGGGAACCGGAGUCAAGGCAAAACCUUCCCCGCACUGGAUACCGGCCUAAAAUGUGGCGCACGACUCCUACCAUAUCCGGCUUAAGAAUCCGGAGAUACGCAAAAGCUGCUACGAAAACGACUUAAAUCUGACUACACGGAACCCAAAUACCCAGACGCGAACAAACACGUGAAAUGCAAUACCACACUACGUUGAACUGACUGGUGAAACUACUGGCUAGAACAGAACGAAGACGCACAGACAUAUCGAAUACACAUGAUGAGACACACACACACACACACACACAUCCAGCCGCAGCUCUAUUCUGCUAGGAACUGUACGAUCCUUGGGGCAUGCUCCGGGAACUUGGCUCUGAACCACGCAUAGCGAUCUGAUAGCCUGAACGCGGUCCAGCUUGGGCUCCUCAGGAAGGCACGAAGCGCUGGCAGGUUGUGCACGUCGUCGUAAGGUUCCCAUGAGGGGUCGCGUUUACUACUAGCGGACCACUGCACGAGGAACAUGACGGACGGGCGUGCGCGCUUGUUAUACCCUAGUUGAACAGCUGUAACAACGGUAUCUGCACUGUCAUAGGGGGAUUCUAGUGCAGUAGGGGCUGCAGGUGGAGGUGGUGGUCGGCCGGGGAAGAGCGCUGGGUCGUUGUCCAUCCAUGGGAGAAGGCGGCUGAUGUGGAAUACUGGAUGCAAGCGGCCGAGGGAGGCUGGAAGGUGAAGGCGGUAUGCAACUGGAGAAAUGACGGAGGAGAUGAGGAAAGGGCCGAGGUAGCGAGGGCGGAGUUUUGGGGAGGGGUAGGUCGGCAGGGUGAGGUGUUCUGUGGACAGGCGGACGCGAUCGCCAACUUUGAAGGUGAUGGCGCGGUGAUGCUGGUUAGCUGCGGCAGCGUAGCGGGUUUUGGCGGCUUGGAUUUCGCGGUUGAUGGUGGCAUGGAUGUCGCUCAUACGCUGCUGUAGUUCUGUAGCCUGCGGGUGAGAGGAAGGUGAAGCGGCUUGGGGGCCGUGGAGGGAGAUGGGAGUGCGCGGGUGGUAACCAUGAUUGGCGUAGAAUGGUGUCAUGCCGGUGCUUGCGUGGGUGGCGUUGUUGUAUGCUGCUUCGGCGAUCGGAAGGUAAGAUGCCCAGUUGUCCUGCAUAGGUUGAGUGUAAGCGCGGAGGAUCUGUUCAAUAGUGCGAUGUGUUCUCUCGGUUUGACCGUCAGUUUGUGGAUGGUAGGCGGAGGAGAUGUUAAGGGACGUGCCAAGGUGCUCCCAGAAGGUGCGCCAGACGUCGGACAUGAAGCGGGAAUCUCGGUCUGAGACGAGGGUUGUUGGAAGACCGUGUAGACGGUAGACGUGGGCGAGAAAGAGUAGGGCGGUGUCGUGGGCGGUGGUGGUCUUGUUAGUGAGGGCGAAGUGGGCUUGCUUGGUGAACAUAUCGACGAAGGUGAGGAUUGCGGUGUAGGUGCGGCCGUCUAAACCUUUAGAGGGCGGCAGGUCGGUGAUGAAGUCCAGAGACACGUGUGUCCAGGGUUGGGUGGGAGUAGGUAACGGGUGGAGGAGGCCAGGCGGAGGCUGGGUGGAUGGCUUGGUGCGUUGACAGAUGGGGCAGGACUUGACGUAGGCUUUGACGGUGCGGGCCAUGUAAGGCCACCAGUAGCGGGUUGAUAUCGCAGCGAGGGUGCGACGGAAACCAGGAUGACCAGAGUAAGCAGCAUCGUGGAAUUCGUGAAGUAGGCGGCGUCGUAAGGAUGGGACGUUAGGGAUGGCGAUGCGGUUGGCGAAGUAGAAGAAACCGUCUGGGGAACGUUGGAGGUAAGGCUUGGUGGAUGUUGAAUUGGAGUACAUGGGGUCGGCGGUGUAUCCGAAACGGAUGUCAUCUGCGAGGCUGGGGUCUGGCACGACAUGGGCUGCGAUGGUGAAACAGGCAUGAUGAAGGGCAUGGUUAGCUGCGACAUCGACGGGUGGUGAAGUGGAGGGCCAAAGCGGGGGAGGUGAUGGAGAUGUAAUGGAGGUUAGGUUUUCUGCUGAUGUAGUGGAAGGUGAGGGACUGGGGUCAGAGGGCUCUGGGUUAGGGGCUGAGCUGACCGGGAAGCGGGAGAGGGCGUCGGCCAUAUUUUGAGGGCCGGGGCGAUAAGUGAUUGUGAUGUAGCCUUGGAAUGGGGCGAGGAGCUGAGCCCAACGGGCUUGACGACGAGAUAGGUCCUUUUGGGUGAAGAAGCGUUGCAAGGUGUCGUGGUCUGUGCAGAGCGUAAAGUGGCAGCCUUUGAGAUAGCACCGAAACUUACGCACUGCAUGUACGACAGCAAGCAACUCCAGCUCAUGGAUGGGGUAGUUGGCUUCGUGACGGCUGAGCUUGCGGGACUCGAACGCCACGGGAUGUAGGGCGCCGUUGCGUUCUUGAAGGAGCACAGCACCAAUGCCGAGGAUGGAGGCGUCGGUAUAAAGGGUGAAGGUGGCGUUGGUGCCGGUGUCUGGGAUGAUGAGAGCUGGGGCUGACAUUAGGGCGUCGCGGAGGGCAUGGAAGGCGGCGACGGCGUCGGCGGGUAGGACCUUGGGAAAGGGCUGGGUUGUUUUGGUGAGGGUGGUAAGAGGAAGGGCAAUGCGGGCGUAGUCUUUGAUGAAGCGGCGGUAGAACCCAGUGAAGCCUAGGAAGGCGCGAACGUCGGUGAUGGAGGAAGGAAUGGGGAAAUUGGCAAGGGCGGUGAGCUUGUCAGGGUCUGUCGUGAUGCCGUCGCGGGAGACGAUGAAUCCGCAGAACUUGGUGGAGGGUUGCGCGAAAGAGCACUUGGAAAAGCGGACAUGGAGGUGGUGGUCUUGAAGUGUGCGUAGAACGGCUUCCACGUCGCGGCAGUGGUCUUCAAAGGUGCGGGAGUAGAUGAGGACGUCGUCGAGGUACACAACCGCACACUUGUUGCGGAAGGGGUGGAGGACGUCGUUCAUGAGGGACAUGAAGGUGGCGGGGGCUCCUGUAAGUCCGAAGGGAAGAACGAGCCAUUCGUACAGACCAUACUUACACCGAAAAGCCGUUUUAUGCACAUCGGGUUCGUGCACACGGACUUGAUGGUAGCCUGACCAGAGGUCCAGCUUGGUGAAAUAGGCUGCGCCGUGCAGCUGGUCAAGGAGCUCGUCCACGCGCGGCAGGGGAUACGCAUUCUUGACUGUGAGCUGGUUGAUUGCACGAAAGUCCACACAGAGGCGUAGACCGUUACCACCAGGUUUCCGGGCGAACAGAAUAGGGGCACCAAAGGGUGACGUCGACGGGCGAAUCCAGCCACGGUCAAGGUAGUUCUUGAGCUGCUUGUCCAGUUCUUGAAGUUCUGCUGGGGACAUGUGAUACUCACGCUGCUUAGGAGGCUGGGCGUCAGGGACCAACUCGAUGUGGUGGUCGCAUGGGCGUGAUGGUGGUAGACCCGAUGGUUCUUCGAAGAUGGUCGCGUAGCGCUGGAGGACAGGCUGAAGGGCUGGUGGUACGGACGGGGAGGCGGUGGGUUGAGGGGGGGCUUCAGGGUCGACUUCGGGAUCUUCGAUGGGACGGAGGACACCCAUGUAAACAGGUGGUGAUGGGUUGAAUGGAGCUCGCUUGCGAGGGUUGGUGGCGUUCGGUGGUGGCGGUCGUGCGGCAGCUUGGCGAAUGCAUUUCUGCAUGCGGGCGAUGGAGACGAAUUCAAUCUGAAAAGCGGAUGGGCAAUACGAGGAAUGUAAUGUAAUGUAAUGUAAUGUAAUGUAAUGUAAUGUAAUGUAAUGUAAUGUAAUGUUACAGAGUGGGAGGCUUCUGGGCCGCUUUAUCACAUUGUCAGUUCUAGAUCAUUUAUCACCUUAUAGCACCAUCCACCACUACCACACUGUACUUCGCCAUACGAACUGUUAGUCCAAGGCGGCGGAUCCAGCCUUCAGGGACCCCUCCUCAUCCAUUCACCCGAACACCCGAAGAGACGGAGGGUUCGGCAAUCGCCACCAAUCUAGCGUGCGAAUCUGGUCCAUCAACUGUGACCUCAACUCCACAUCUCAGCAGCUAGCCAUAAUCUCGCGCUCCCGACUAAUUCGGGGGUCUCCCCAGGAAUCGAACCCAGGACCUUAAACUGCUAAUUGCAGUAGUGUCAACCCAGACCAGACCGGAUGGGCAAUACGAGGAAUGUGGAAUGACGGUGUCGCCGAUGGUGACGGUGUUGGUACGCCAGUCGAUUUGGGGGUUGUUGGUAGUAAGCCAGGGUUUCCCAAGGAUGGCGUCGUAUCCGUCAAGGUCGAGGGUGAAGAAGGUGGUGCGCUCAUGGUGUGAUUGGAUAGCCAAGGGGGCGUUGGGAAGGGCGGAGGAACAGAGGGUGAGGUGUCCGUUGGCCAAACGAACGCGAAACGACUGCGAAGCUGGAAGGUUGGCGGAGUGUAAUUGGUGAUGUUGGAGGAAGGAGUGGGCGAUGAAGUUGCGGGAAGCACCAGAAUCCAGGAGGACUCGAGCGAGGUGGCCAGCUAUGGUGGCAUCGAAGACGAUAAGGGUGGUGGAGAGAUUGUCGGUGACGGACGCAAUGCGACCUAGGAUAGGCGGGAUGAAGGGGCGUUCCACCGUAGACCUUUGUUCGUCUAUCUGCGGAAGUGAAGCUUGAGGAGCGCGGUGGGGCUGGGGGGUAGGACGUUGUACGAGGGGGAAAGAUGGUUGGGCUGGCUGGCUGACGGUUGGUGGAGGCGGAGGUGGGGAAGAGGCAGCGGAUGUUGGAGUUUGCGAAAAACGAGCGAUAAGAUUAGCGACAUUAGAGCGUGGUGGUGGAGGUUGGUCCGAUGGCUGGGGCGGCGGUGGGGGAUGUGAGCUGGAAAAAUGUUGGAUGAGAGUUUUGACCGACAAUGUGGAUGAUGUUGACGGAUGGUUGGGGGAAGCGAAUGAAGGAUGGGACGAGGUGGAGACGGGGUGAAGGGUGGUAUCGGGAAGCGGGGUGGCGGAUGUAGACGCGAGAGUAAAGGGGGCGGACGAUGGUGGAUCGUGGAGGACUACUACAGGCCAAGGGCUGGGACCCGGUUCUCCAUACCUGGACGGGUCUGAAGUGGUGGGGCGGCAGACGAUCUGGGCGCCGGCAGGGAAGCGGUGGACGAUGGUCAUGUGGCGGAUGAGGGGGGCCCAAGGGGCUUGUGGACGAUCGGGUAGGACAAUGAUGGCAGAGGUUUUGGGGUUGGCGGUCUUGGCGUCGAGGUAGCGGGCGACGAUGGUAGAGACGUUGUCGACAGGUGGCACCAUCCAUAUGCACUCUCCUUCGAUGUCGGUCGAUAGGAAAGGUCGGGACGGUGAGAAAAAGGGCGAGAGCUGUGCAGUUAAGCCGAGGUCAUCACAGUAGGCAUCGAUGGUAAACGGGCCGUACUGUGAAUCAUAUUCAAGAAAAAGCGAUCGCGCGAUUUUCCAAUCAUUGCUUGCCUGGCAUGCUCCCUUCGAUGACGAGGCUGCAGCUGCGCGAGCACGCUUGCGACCAACACGGCGGGCAGGCUUGCGGACGAUUUGAGCUAGACGUUGAACGUUGAACGCGGUUUCGGACGAGUGCACAGCAGACGACGUCGGCAGGCUGUGGCUGACCGUUUCUGCCGACGACGGCCUAAGAGCCGAUUUAACGGGGGCCUGGGGAGCGGGAGCGGGUAGGGGAUUUGUUGCUGAUGUGCUGGGAGCGGCGGCCGUGGGAGCUGUUACUGACGCGGGAGGGAGAACGACCGCGAUGGCUGUGGUUGUCGUAUUGUCGGUGGCCGCGUGAACGUCGAUCCUCGGAGGCGGAGGACGUGGAGGAGCGGGAGGGCGAGCGGGCAGGCGAGCGGGCAGGCGAGCGGGGCGGCUUGCGGCUGUUGUUAGCACCCUGAAAGGAGUGCCGGCGGGAGGAGUUGGGUUGGGAGAUGGUGGUUGCUGCCAGGAGGCGACGAAGUUCCGGGCAGUGUUCCUUGGCGUGCGACUCGUCACCACACUGUAGGCAGACGUGCUGGGCCAUGCGCUGGAGGCGCAAGUUGUAGGGGACUCCGAUGGUUUUGAUGCUGCUCGGAAGAGGUGAGGUGCUGUGGUGCGGCGUGGUGGAGUAGACGUUGGCGGUGAGGUCCAUAGGGUCGUCCCGGUGGACGUCUCGGGAGCUACAUGGCGCGGUGUUGUAGUCGAUGAGGUGGGCGUUGUGGCGCCCGGAAAAGAUGCCCAUCGCCAAGUCAAUGAUGAUCUGCAGGGUCACAUCAGUGCCGUAUUGAGGAAGCCUUGCGUAGACUUCCUCGCGGAGGUCCCUGUUGAGACCUUUCGCGAAGUGAAAGACGUGGUCGAGUUCGUGACGGUGAGGAAGGUCGCCCAUAAGGCGUCCGAAAGCGGCCACGUACGACACCAGAGAGUUCGGGCCUGAGCCUUGACGAAUGGUGUCCAUGCUGAUCUGGGCCUGGAGGAGGCGAUCGGGUCUGGGCGCGAGGGGCGUUAGCGCUUGAAGGACCGCAGUUAAGGAAGUAAAGGGGGUACGUUGGUGGUGGAGGAGGAGGGUGUCCAGGGUAGGUCCUUCGAUGGCAGACAGGGCUAUGGCGACAGCAGGCGCACUGUCUUCAUGCAGACCGCAUACCGUGAAGUGGAGGUGGAGGCGGUUGGCCCACGAAGCGAGGUCGGCGUCCUUGGCCGUGGGGUUGAAUCGGGGGGCUGGUCAGCGCUGGUUGUUUGACGAACGAUUCUCUAAGGCUCGUACGGCAGCAUGUGCGGCGACUUCUGAGAUUCUAUCCCAGGGGAGAGCGGCUUCGGACGUGGUGGGGGGCGCCGCGGGCGCGGGCGCGGGCGCGGGCGCAGGCGCGGGCGCGGGGUCGGUGGCGGCAGGGAAGGAAGGCAUAAACGGGAACUCGUUCGAGAGAGACAUGGUUGAUGAAGAGGUGACGAGGACGAAGACGAAGUGACGAGGGCGAUGACGAAGUGAUCAGGGCGAUGACGAAGUGAUCAGGGCGAAGGCGAAGUGAUGAGGACGAAGACGAAGACGAAGUGAUGAAGGCGAAGACGAAGUGAUGAAGGCGAAGACGAAGUGAUGAAGGCGAAGACGAAGUGAUGAAGGCGAAGACGAAGUGUAGAGGUGAAGAUGAUGGCGCGAUGGCGCGAUGGCGCGAUGACGACGAAGACGAUGGCGACGACGAUGAAGAGCUCGGCGAGGAGGAUCACCUAGGUCUCGAUACCAAUUGAAAGGGAACCAGGCCGCUCCUAACAACUGGGAAGCGUAAGCUGACUUUACUGGCCGAUAUACUUGCGUAAGCACAGAAGAUCGGGCUUUUCAAUUUCAACUUAGACUUACAAUGUUCGUAAAAUGGUCCGCUUAAAUAGUCAUAUUAGCGCGCCAUUGUCUCACACGGAGAACCACAGGAUCAAGCUCCACUAGCUCCGAAGUUACGACAUGGUCUCAGAAGCGCGCGCUAACGAACUGCAAAACCUUACAUGAACUAACAGAUUUAAAUUAUGUUUCUUGGCUGCACCAAGUAUUUUCCUAGGCGAGAAGUUCAUGGUCUGCUGCCGACCCAACCUCCGGUACGACAGUGCUAGACAAACGUAGCAGAUGUUCAUAAAUGACUUUUAUGUUUAUGUUAAUAUUAUUGCUAUAGCGGCUCUGGCCCGGACGGGUGUAAGAUGUGCGUUGGUCGACGCGUUGGCCUUAGAAGAAGUAGAAAAACGCGAAGAGAACACGUGAAUUCAUAUGCAGAAGUCAUGGACGGCGACGUUUUACGCUCUGAAUGGUGAUUCCUGCUUUUGUGUUCGGUUCUGGACCUCACAUGUUGUCGUACCGGAAAAUUGUCUUCCGGUACGGCGGUACAGGAGGUAUCUGCGUCGACUUGUAUGCAAAACACUGAGGUCCUGGUGAAGCAGCUGCCCGCGUUCGCAAAGUGUCUAUAGUUGUGGAAGGUGCCGAAGUGCGUCGGUGAAACAGAAUGUGGCCGGAUUGGAGAGAAAAGUGCAGCAGUAUAUUGUGAGUGUAGUUGAAGCGUUUUACAAGGCGUUUGGCGCACGGGCGAAUGUACAUGCAUUCCUAUCAUCGUGGGUGCGUCUCGUUGCUUGGCCUGCAACGCGUAUACAGUACUUGUAGCGUCAGUCCUCAGCUCACUUCUUGUAACGAACAUCAGCAUAGGUACAAGCCCUCCCGGUUGGAGGGAUAUGCAAAAACAAACAUAAUGAAGGGUAAACUCGCAACCUACCGAGCAUUCACCCGACCAGGCGACGAGCCGUCCUUGACACGGCUCUGAACGACUUUCCUGUUUUUAUGUUUAAUUAAUUUUGUGUAUGUUAUAUUUUGCCGCAAGUUUGUAAUUUGACUUUACUCUGGACAAGGUGCUGUAUGCGUUGCACAAAAGUGCCUCACCCAACGCUUCCUCUUCUGGCGGCCGUUUCAUGAGCCCAGUCUUGCAAGCUACAUUGUUUGCUUUCGGUGCUUUCAGUUACGGCAAAGCAGCCACCCACAUUUCCGGCCUGCAUACCGCGUGCGACUGUGGCCAACAUGCACUCCUGCACAACCCCCUGCCUUUCGCCCCAAAAAAUGACAUACACUUGUACACGCGCAUUUUGAGAAUCGCACGCGCGCAUCCGCGCGGUAAAAUUCGCUCCUGGCUUUUGGGGUGUCUUGUAGGGCCCGGACCGGACACGAUUGUGCGAGAGGCUGCUUAACCAAUUACACCUAGGGAUCAUAUGGUGGUUGCAUCGCAUGUUUCUUGGCCGCAGCCAGGAGCAAACUCAAAUGGAGUUGGGCCAUUUGCCCAGGCUGCCGCAUGGACGACAAGCCAGGCUAACGCAGCUGAUGUCCAUGAAUGCCCUUUACAUUUUGAGUAUAAAAGUCACAUCUACCCCUAACUUACAUUCUGGGUUUAGUACUACUGGUCAGGCGCGACAAUUACUCCCGAGAGAUCCAGGUAUCGAGGCACGGUACCACUGAGAGCAUUAUCCAAGUCAUAGGCGCAACAAUGUUAACGAAACAUUAAGAGAGGUAGUGUGGAUAUCGCACUUUCGAUUAGAGUGAUGACUUGGGUAUCUAAAGGGUGACUCCAAGUAAAUUUCUAUUAUGUGAUGCCUGUACAGGUCCUAUUAUAGGGAAUCAUGUAUACUUGCGUCUAUAUAGGCAAUGUCGUUUACAACAUCAAGUGUAUACAAACCGUAUACAUGACCUGUAUACCGCAUAGCCUAAACAUCCCUUGCUACAGGUUAUGAUGUAAAAAUGUACUUAUAAUACUAUGCCAUACACGAUUGUAUAUUAGGCCAUCACUUACACAUGCGCCUCUUAUGCCUAAGCCUUUAAGUUUCGUAGAAUACGUGUAGAGCUAAAUGGCCUAUAUACCUUUCACCUAAUUUCCCGAAUAUGUCAUCUAUACAUAUGCCCGAAAAAAUACAGACGGUGUUACAUUGGUGCGGAAUGCUAGGAGGUGAGAACACUCCGGAUCAAAUCCGGAUGCGAACAUACCACACACCAGGCAAUGAUGCAGUGUACUCUUCCCCAAACAUGAUGCCCAGUUGGGCGAAAAGUCUACCAGCUGAGUGAAAUCAAAGUCAUCCAUCUUGGAUGGGGACUGACAUCACUCAUCAUGACGUUCACUCGAGGGGGGGAGGAAUAUAAGAAGGGAUCAGAUCCCCUGGCAUCUCCCUGCACAGUACUCCCUGAAGAGUACUCAGCUGAGUACUCUUUGCCUGGUGUUACAGGUCCCGCUAUCAGUGAGGCCAGCGGUAUCACCUUCUCACCACCUCUCGACCACCCUUCUCCACUGGCUGGCAUCCCACCGCGGGAGCUUUGUUAGUUAACAUCGCAAUCCAGCGGAAUAUCACCCCACUCCAGCAACAAAUGGUGGAACAGAGCCAGCUCCUGGCCUCCAUGGCCAAAGUAAUGACAGCUAGCUAUAGCCAAAAUCCGGCAGCCACCAUUCUGUCACCAGCCCAGGCAGGGGCGGCAUCGGUCGCACCCGACAAGGCGAAAAGAAGCAAGGACAAAAAGAAGAGGAAGGACGACAGCUCAAGUUCAAGUUCGUCAUCAAGCAGUGACGACAAGGCACCGAAGUGGUUGUGGUGCUUGGUGGACUGCAUCGAGGCUCAACAGCCUACAGACCCAUCUGGUUUCCUCAAACAAGUCUUCCACGGUUUUGACACGCAGGGAAAGCUGGCAUUAGCUUUGCUGGUGGAGGUUCCGCCGAACGUGAAGGGUGCUAUGAAAGUCCUCAAGCCUAUGGUUCACCGUGCAAGGUCGGCAUGGUAGUCACCAAAGCGCACAUCAGUCUUGCGGCUGGGAAAUUUGUUUCAGCAUUCUAUGUGUAGUAGCUGGUACACAGUAAGGCUCUACAUAUACGACCGCCAGCAUCGUAAGGCCUUCUUAGCGGCCAGCUACUACAUUUGGUAUCGAGACCUCGUGAAAAUUCAUGAUCCUGAAGUUGCUGGUUCAAUCCCCACCAUUAUGCUUGGUGGAAUAUCGGGUAUGGUGACUCAGUAAUCAUCGCGGUAAAUUGUAGCUGAACCGACUGGACUGUCCCGAGGCCUGAAAAACCUUAAGACGGCUAGAUGCAUGUGAAAGCGACACAUGACGUGACGAGGACUGGUCACCCACUGCCCGAGGGUAGGCGAGGGUAGGCACAGGCUGGUGGUAUACGUGGCCGUAAGGGCCCGAGACAGAUCCCUUCAUAGGGGGGGAAUGUAGUAGCUGGCACACCGUACAGCUCUACAAAUACACAUGAAGCGUGACCACCAGCAUCUCGAGAGGCCUUUUCAGCGGCCAGCUACUACACUAUGCAAUGAGGAGAAGUUUUGGGACACGACCAAGCCAGGAAAACUAAUAGAUGGAGUCAAGGAGCAAGCGCUAAAGAACACUGCCGGCCGCUCAGGUGGGGGUGUGGGCGGACACAGCACAGGUGGUGAUGGAGCAGGUGGCUCAUGCGGAGGUGGAGUGUGCAGGCUCUGGACACGACAACAAGAGGCGCGCUGAUGACGUUGGCCAUAAUGCACGAGAUGAAAAGCAGCACCGUUGAGGAUUGUACACAGGCCCGCAUGCCAUUGUCUCGGAUGUCUUUCGUCUUUCAGUGAGCUGCACCCACGUUCACCUUGGCUAUCUGGUUGUGCACCUGCGUGCACUUCAGUCCCAUCACUGUGUGAACGCGUGCACUUUGGCCAUUACCAUGCUCCCGCGUGCACCUGGGCUACGUCUCUAAAAUUGGAAGUCACCUAUAGGCCGGGCCAUCGCCUAAUAGGUAGGACCGCGGAAUAUGUGGAGUAUAGGUGAUUUCGCGUAUAUGAUCGUAUACAACACACCUAUAGGCGAUCUGUUGUAUACAGCAUGGUCUAUAGGCCUGAAGGCUAUAGGUUAUCAUGUGUACGCAAGAAAAGCUGUGAGAGCCUAUAAUCGUUGUAUAAAGGUAUGCAUACCUAAAGGCAUAUAUGCCUUUAUGUAGGCCGCUCGUAUAUACAGUGUUCGGGCCAAAGCUGCACUAGCUGCUGCGUGCGAAACACAUUUGACCUCCCUUAAAAUGCUGCAAACUAUGAGGUCUGUGCAUAUGAAACGUAUUGUAUUCACCCUUCAUGCCGAGGCACAUGCAUCGAUGGAGCCCAUGCAUUGCCGUCAGGUACCCCUCGUCCCUAAGAUCUACUGCUGUAACAACCACGCACACAUACUGCUAGUAGUCAUAAGAGCUGUAAUUCCUGUGACCUCUGGUGUCCUGUUCGCGCCAGUUGCACCGCAAACGCUUCCACAUGAACUGUUAAACUGUUUAAAAUUUUCGUAUUCUUAAGUAUCGCGCGUGUGUAUGCUUUGAAAAUACAGGAGAUGGAAAAGGUACGCUUACAGCGCUAGCCGUCAGCGAUUUCUGGCUUACCAGGGUCUCAAGAUCUAGGACCUCUUUUCCGAAAGCACUGAAAGGAGUUUUGCAACGUUAUGUAAUCUUUUCGGGGACUUUCCAUGGACCUGCCGGCGAAGUAAGGGAAUGAUAUGCGCACGCCGCCGAAUAAGUAAUUAUCAGUAAAUUGUUAACCUGCAGGUAUCACGUUGAACUUCUUAAUGCAAUGCCAACAUAAACCAAACAGAACAAGCCUACAACAUGACUUCCAAAGGGUGGCAUGUAUGUUAGAAGCGCCCUGCAUUCCGNNNNNNNNNNNNNNNNNNNNNNNNNNNNNNNNNNNNNNNNNNNNNNNNNNCUGGUGCGAUUUAUGCGCCCGGAAGCCCUUUCAGCCUCACAGGCAUGUCCCCACCUGCCUCACAGCCGCCGACGCAUCUCACGGCGGGGGUCUAAUUGCGUGUGCAUAUGGAUGCUCCUAUUCCCCGCCGCCUUUCUAGCAACUAGUAAUGUUAUGAUGCAUCGUUGGUCCGGCGUACGACGGCGCCUGGUGCGAUUUAUGCGCCCGGAAGCCCUUUCAGCCUCACAGGCAUGUCCCCACCUGCCUCACAGCCGCCGACGCAUCUCACGGCGGGGGUCUAAUUGCGUGCGCGUAUGGAUGCUCCUAUUCCUGCCGCCUUUCUAGCAGCUAGUUACUGUUAUGAUGCAUCGUUGGUCCGGCGUACGACGGCGCCUGGUGCGAUUUAUGCGUCCGGAAGCCCUUUCAGCCUCACAGGCAUGACCCCACCUGCCUCACAGCCGCCGACGCAUCUCACGGCGGGGGUCUAAUUGCGUGCGCGUAUGGAUGCUCCUAUUCCUGCCGCCUUUCUAGCAGCUAGUUACUGUUAUGAUGCAUCGUUGGUCCGGCGUACGACGGCGCCUGGUGCGAUUUAUGCGUCCGGAAGCCCUUUCAGCCUCACAGGCAUGACCCCACCUGCCUCACAGCCGCCGACGCAUCUCACGGCGGGGGUCUAAUUGCGUGCGCGUUCGCAUGCGGCAUGUCCCGCCACCUUUCUGGCAUCUAGUUGAUGGUAUGAUGAAUCGUUGUGCGGUGUAGGGCUGCGCCUGAUGCGAUUUCGUUUGCGGAAGCCCCCCCUGAGUGCUGCCAAGCAUGUUAUUCUCUCAUGAGACUGCGUGAAGGUUUACGAACUGAGUAUGCGACCAACACAUAAAACAUCGCAUGCGAAUUGUUAUGUCAUGCGAUUCAUCAAAGGUAAAUCGUGUGUGCUUGUUGUGUGUUAGCUUAGGCCGCAUUAAGCUUGACGCAACGAGCCUUCAUACGCUUGAAACGCAACAUUUGUUUGCAUGCGAAUUGCGUUGCGAUAUGUGUGCGUUUGGUAAGUGUUAGGCUGCGUUAAGCUUUACGCAAUGAGCCUUUAUACGCAUGAAACGCAGCAUGUAUUAGCAUGCGAAAUGCGUUGCGAAAUGUGUGCGUAAGGUGAGUGUUAGGCCGCGUUAAGCUUUACGCAAUCAGCCUUCAUACGCAUGAUACGCAACAUGCAUUCGCAUGCAAAUAGCCUUGCGGACUGUGUGCGUUUGAUGUGCGAGUGGACGCGAAUUGCUUUACGCAUUGUCUCCCCACACGCACGAAUCGCAAUAUGGAAUCGCAUGCGUAUCGCCUUGCUACACAUGCGCGUAUGCUUCGCGUUUCAACAUACGCACGGAUAAAUUGUUCAAGUCGAUCAAACGACGCAAGUUUAUUUGCAAAUAAACCUUUACAAUCUGAAAAUUAUAAAAUUUUAAAAAACUUGGCCAGAAGGGCCGAUUUCCGCUUUUCCAUAGCCGUUGUGCGUUAGCUCUUUGCGUUACAAAAGCAUGCUCAUUCGCACCUAACGCUAAGAUUCGCACCGUUACGCGAACUAACGCGAGCUAACGCGGACUUAACGCGAUCACCCGUCGUCAUAGUGGUUGCGCCUGCGAUCGGCCAUAGCCGCAGACGCGGACGCCGCAAAUGCUAUCUGUUUACACCCUACAGGCGUGGUUCACGUACGUAUUCGCGUAUAUAGAAUAUCAUAAUAGAAAUUAUGCGUGUUCCUUGCGACUUGCGAGUUGCAAGUUGCGACUUGCAAGUUGCGACUUGCGACUUAAGCAGUACGCAAGAGUGCACUUCGCCUCGCACCCGCAAUUUGUUUUGCAAGCCGCCAUAAGAUUGUGGAGUGGCAAAUGCUUUCAGGCCGGUCUAUUAUACCAUGGCACGCGUCUAUUGUGCCAUCUAUAUACCAAUCGAUACAUGUAUUAUUGUACAAUAAUUCUACCAAAAAUCCAUUCCUCGGUCCUUUUUGAUAUAUGAUUACCCUAUAUAUAUGUAGACCAUGAAACAUUUACCGAUGCGUUUAGGUGAUACAGAUUACAGGUGCUAACCCAAGCAUUUCAUGUGCACACGCACCUGGAAUUUUUGUAUAAAAACAAAUUGAAGUAACAGUUCUUAAUGGGGCCACAGAGGACUUCAUCCAGCCGUUGGCAUUGAAGCCUAGACAUGCUGGCAACUUUGCACAGUCGGUAGCAGCUGCUGCAGCGGAACCAGAGUUGCUCAGGUCGUCCUUAUCGUGGUCGGUGUCCGGAAGUGCAAUGUAGCCAUAAAAACUUGGACAUGCUGUGGAAUCAGGAAAGGGAAGUGCCAAACAUUGUGUAUGACUCAUUAAGCUACCAAAAGGCAUUGAUGCUGGGAGUUUCUGCAAGGUGCAAUAAGUUGUACUUAUGCAUGAACUACUUACCUUGCAAUGUACACAUCCACACUUGCUAUUUAAAUUUAUUUACUAUUCUGGCCCUGUUCACUGCUGUAGCGGGAACAGGAACAGGAAAGGGCCUGCACAAGCUACGUCAUAUGCAUGUCACACUGCGGCACUACUGGAAACAUAUUUAUUCUNNNNNNNNNNNNNNNNNNNNNNNNNNNNNNNNNNNNNNNNNNNNNNNNNNNNNNNNNNNNNNNNNNNNNNNNNNNNNNNNNNNNNNNNNNNNNNNNNNNNNNNNNNNNNNNNNNNNNNNNNNNNNNNNNNNNNNNNNNNNNNNNNNNNNNNNNNNNNNNNNNNNNNNNNNNNNNNNNNNNNNNNNNNNNNNNNNNNNNNNNNNNNNNNNNNNNNNNNNNNNNNNNNNNNNNNNNNNNNNNNNNNNNNNNNNNNNNNNNNNNNNNNNNNGCUACUGGGCUAGACUUGGAGGGUCCGACCGGGGCAACUCGUUGCUGUGGACUUGUAGGCAAGUCAAGUAGGGCUAUGGAAUGCUAGGACAAUGUUAUUAUGUUUGUGUUAUAGGCUUGGGUAGGAAUUCUUAAGCAAUACGUUGAGUGGCUUUUCCGCCGGCGGGAGGACGACAAUCCCACGCAAACAGGACGGAUGUUCCGAAUGUUGCUUACAUUCAUGUUGUCGAAGCUCGCGACGACGGCUCUGGACAGGACGGAUGUCAAGUGUGCGUUGGUGGACGUGAUGGCAACGUAGUGAAGGACACGGACGCGCAUGCACAGGCCAUGGAAUGGUAUGUCUAAAUCAUGGAUGGCGACGUUCAACUCUCAGAAUGGUGAUUUCUGCCUUUGGGUUCAAUUCUGAACCUGGAAUGCUGCUGGCUCUGCCCGUACCGGAAAAGUGCUUUCCGGUACGGCGGUGUCAGGAGGUGGUAUCUACGUCGUCUUAGGGGCAACCCUAAGACUAAGGGGAUGAACGAAUAGAGAUAUACUUAGGGUUUCUUGGCUGCAGCAAGUGUUGUCCUGGGCGCGACGUUGAUGGCCUGAUGCCGACGCGACCUCCUUUACGACAAUGCUAGGCAAACGCAGCGGAUGUUCAUGAAUUACUUAAGCGUUCAUAUUACUCGUCACAGCUUCAACGGCACUGUACUGGGCGGAUGUAAGAUGUGCGUUGGUGGACGCGAUGGCCUUACGAAGGGGGAGAAAGACGCUUAGGAGAUGCUUGGAUUGUUAUGUACAAGUCACAGACGGGGACGUUUAACUCUAUGAAUGCUGAGUUUUAGCUACUAGUCGGGUUUUUUGAACUUCGCUGUUGUUGGUUCCGCCCGUACAGGAAAAGUGUCUUCUGAUACGGCGGUCACAGCAGGUAGUAUCCGCGUCGACUUGUAUGCAAACCAAAUACAACGAAACCAGGGGAUGAUAUGACAGUUUUGGAAUGCUUGUUUCUUGGCCGCAAGCAGCAGCAUACUUAAAUCGCGUUGGGCCAUUUGCCCAGGCUGCCGNNN